Hylaeus anthracinus is the source of this 2343-nucleotide long non-coding RNA. RefSeq lists it as uncharacterized. NCBI's taxonomy places the organism in Eukaryota, Metazoa, Arthropoda, Insecta, Hymenoptera, Colletidae. The transcript is spliced from 3 exons. The record is from RefSeq and is a predicted model, not a curated record.
AGACUCUUCAUUCCGAUAUUUUCUUGCGCAAGAGCACGCUCCAAGGAACCAAGAAAACGAAAACUCGUACAAAAUAAUCUUUAAUAUGUUUAAUCGACAAUGUGCAACGUUUGCGCUUUAUUUUCCUGCGAAUAUCAAGUUUAUUUACUACAUUCUUCGAUGUCAACGGUGUACCCCUUGCGACGGUCAUACAUAGACCACGAAUCAACUAAUAUUUUUUCCCCAGCGAACCUUAAGAGAGCUGAUUAAAAUUACGAUUAGAUAAAGCAAGGCUCUAUUGUAUAGUAUUGCAUACAAAGAGAUUGUAUAGAUAAUUAUUAUUCUAUAUAAUCUGUUUGAUUGUCAGAGAAACCGUUGUACCCAACCUCUGCCCAUUACGCAUGCCCCAAAAUGGCUGCGACUCGCGCAUGCGCACUGUACUCAGCACCAGUACAGUAUCUACUACGACCACAAAACUGGCGCUCUUGGCUCCUCGAAGAAUGAUAGAUAUAUAAAAAGAAUUUAGAUCAUGCAUCGUUAUUGGUACGGUAUCCUAGAGAACCAUAAUAAUGAAAAAGUGAAGCUGAAACCACGCAUCGUGUAAAACCUUAAAGUUAUAUGACUUCGCACCCUUAGAAGCACCCCUUUAAAACCUACCAGGCAUCGUUUCCUACUGUAACAGCACUGCGCGCAUGCGCGAUCAGCUUUCUCUACCGCACGUGCGCGACUCGACGCCAUUACUGCGUCGCCACGCAACAGCUUCGUUGCGCAAUAAACAGCGUUACCGCAACCUAAAAGGUCCGAAUAAAACUCGUAAUUCCUUCCAAUACCGAUUCAUCUCUUCACGAUACAUCUCGUAUGCACGUAAUCUUCAUUCCGAAAAACUAAUUAAAGUUAGGCAAAUAAUAGAUUGUAUAGAUAGAGUCUAUACAAUAAUCGUGGCCAAUACAGAUUGCGCUGGUGCAGAAACUAACCUUUUAAACAAAAUUAUUGCCACACAUGGGAAGUAACGAAGACGUGGAAGAUAAACAAGAUGACGCUUCCGCGAGUUGGAGACAUUUGGAUGUCACGUUCCCCCAGGUGACUGAAAGAAAUUGAGGUUAAAGCGGCUGAUAUACGCUAAAGAGGCUCUCUCGCGCAAUCUCACGAUCGUAUGUUUUUAAAGGCGAGCACGUGACGCCCAGCUACUCGGAGUCUCUUGUAAUCUUGGGCCGCCACUUUCUUCUAGAGAAUUAAAUUUUCUACAAAAAAGUCUUAUGAAUCAAGCUUGUACAACCAAUACUUAUCGAAUUAAAUAGCUGCAUAAGAGUUGCUUACGAUAGGGCAUAGCUGAACGAUCAACUGUUGCAACGCGGAUUCGUACGAUUGUCCAACUGACAACUUCAUAAAAGGCCGAUGUUCCGUCGCCACGGAAAUGUCAAGAAUUGUUGCGAAACAAAACAACGCCGCUCCUGCGAGAUAAUUUGCCUUGUUGCUCGUAUAAUGGCCAGUCGUUAACGAUGGUUCGCGUCCAUCUCUCGCGGGAAUCCCACUUUCUAUCGAGCUUCGAACUCUAGAAGCUUACCAAACGUUCAGGAAUCCUUGUAACUAAAUUUAUUCGAACGUUUCUAGUUGAAAAACCAGCAAAUACGUUCACUGUGGCCAAUCUUUUAAUCGACUCUCUCCAGACCUAGAAUUACUGAUUUCAGUAAAUGCUGUUUCAUGUUAUAAAACGGAUCUUUAAGCAAAAGGAAAUCUUUGCAAACAUGUCUACAAAAAUUGAACGUAAAUAGGAAUUUAUUAUAGUCGGUGAAUAUUACAUGAGUUUUUUUUUUUUUUUUUUUUUUUUUUUAUUUAUUGUAUACCGUAUACAUUUUGUAGUUUCUUACACAUUCGAAUUCAAAUGUGGCAGAACGGAAGUAUCGCUGUCGGUAAAAAUGCGCCAAUCAACCUUACCAACAGUUCCACGUUUCUCCUUACGUUUUCAAGCCUUAUCUUGAGGACAAAGAGCCUGCAAGUCAAUCGUAGUCUUUUAUAAGCGGCAAAACGUCGUUCGCGAGAAAUAAGGAGAAGCGUGGACUGCAGGAGACGGAAAUGAUUUCUCAAAUAUUACGAUGCACACAAUGCUAACGAUCGUAAAAGAUACCGUUGUUCCUGCGUUCAUUGUUGUACAAUGAAUGUUCCAUUCCUAUUCUCAUUCGCAGUUUCAAUUUCACCUCGUGUCCUUUCGUGAUAUGCCAACUGAAAAUAAAUUCCCGUGAGAAGCACGUAGAAUACCAUAAAAUACCUUAGCUACUUACCAUUUGUGUUAUCGCUGGUCGAUAAUCAUUAUGGUAACGCUCCGCUGUCGGUAUAUCAAACAUCUUGGUGAUUAUAUUUCAAAAU